UGUGCCCCAACAGUCAGACCAAACUGCCAUACUGUGAUGGAGGUACACAAAUUCGAUUACAACUAAAUUUUCCGUGCUCGCCCGCAAGUCCGUAGCAGUCGUCCUUCAAGACCAGUGGAAA
Long non-coding RNA from Drosophila subobscura, 121 nucleotides. RefSeq lists it as uncharacterized. NCBI's taxonomy places the organism in Eukaryota, Metazoa, Arthropoda, Insecta, Diptera, Drosophilidae. The record is from RefSeq and is a predicted model, not a curated record. The transcript has 3 exons.